GACGAACCGUGCGAACGUUGUUCGGAAUCACUGGGCUUAAAGGGCGCGUAGGCGGGCUGUCCAGUCUGGGGUGAAAUCCCGCGGCUCAACCGUGGAACUGCCUCAGAUACUGACGGCCUCGAGGGAGAUAGGGGCAUGCGGAACUGUAGGUGGAGCGGUGAAAUGCGUUGAUAUCUACAGGAACUCCGGUGGCGAAGGCGGCGUGCUGGAUCUCUUCUGACGCUGAGGCGCGAAAGCUGGGGGAGCGAACGGG
RNAcentral lists this ribosomal RNA (253 nucleotides) under uncultured bacterium. RNAcentral's name for it is "partial 16S ribosomal RNA". It matches the Rfam family "Bacterial small subunit ribosomal RNA", at positions 524 to 776 of the family's 1533-position model. The record is from RNAcentral.